CUGUGGGUAUCUGCAUGUAGGUGUCUGUGUGUGGGCAUCUGCACGUGGGUAUCUACAUGUAGGCAUUUGCAUAUGGACAGCUGCCCAUGGAUAUCUUCAUUCUGCAUAUGGACAGCUGCAUGUGGGUAUCUGCAUGUGGACAGUAGCAUAGCCUGAGUCUCCCUGGAGGAAGGCACAGAGUUGCGCAACCCAUGAAGGGACCCCUUAAAGCAAUGGGGAGCUCCACCUGAGCCCAGAUUGAUUCCGAGUGUUGGAAGCCCAAAAAUUACUGUAGGUCCCAGUUGUCUCAGAUGACCUUGUGGUAAGACCUCCCGCCAGACGACUCCAAUGACUAUCAUCUGGGAGGACCGGAAGUGCAGACAUUUUGUGUUAUCAACUGAAGAAAGAUCAAUGUGCUCUACAACGGUCGGAGAAAAGCGUUCCUUCUUUUUGUGAAAAAUGAAAGAUUCUGACAGAAAGUCUUCCUUGAUGAAAGAUUUCCCCAGAUUUGUGGUGAGAAGGAGGAGGGGUGUCACCAGACUGAGCCGGCAUCUCCUGCCCAUCAUCAGAGCAUCUGAAUUAAAGGAGAGUGUGAGAAUGAACACACACCAACACCAGAAGUAAAAGAAGUAGAGAAAAAUACACCAAAGGAAAGUACGUACGAAUUAAUAAAGACUGAAACUGAGAUUAUUCCACUAGAAAACAGAGCCAACUAAAAAGGCAACGCAACAAUGAGUAAAAGUAGAUAUUAUUUUUUAAUGAAAAGUCUAAUAAAAACAAAGAAAAUAUAAGCAUGGGGUAAAAGUAUUUAUCAAAAACCAGGAGCAAAUAUUACAUUAAAAGAAUAAUUGCUUAAAAAAUGUUCUACUACAAUCAAGAAAAAAAUACAAGGAUAUCAGUUAUUUAAAAUGGUUUUAU
Molecule: long non-coding RNA, 897 nt
Organism: Piliocolobus tephrosceles (Ugandan red Colobus)
Lineage: Eukaryota; Metazoa; Chordata; Mammalia; Primates; Cercopithecidae
Exons: 4
Source: RefSeq, a predicted model, not a curated record